CUUCGCGCGAGUAACACGCAUUUAUCUGUCGCUCCUACGUUUUUUUCAUUUUAAUAAUCAUCCAUAUACGUUGAGAUUGUUUUAUAUUUUGUCUCUUCACAUCAAGGAUAUAACGUAUUUAAUAGUAAUAAAAAUUCAUCAAAUCUGUGGGAGUUGGUUGAAGCUUUUUAUUUUGAAAAAUAUGGAGAGGAUAUUUGAGAUCAUAUGAAAGAAGUGACUUAAGAGGCUUCUGGAAUUUUCUGUUUCAAACUUAUAUAGGAAUUACAACGUUGCGUCAUUUCACGAAAUUUUCAACAGUUUAAAAAACAACUGCGUCAUCAAUGAUAGCUUUAUGAGGGAUUUGAACCGAUUGGAGUACUGCUUAGUGGCUAGGGCGGGGUCCUAUUACUCCAAAUGAGGCUUCUCUCAUAAUACCAAAGCAUUCUCAAUUUUCGUCGUGCAAUGAAUCCAAUUAGUUGUUGAAUGUUUGUCCUUCUUAUUCUAUCUUUAUCUGCACGUAAUGUAAAAUACGAUUUUCUACGUGGAUAAUAAUUCGUGAUAAUUUUACACCGUUACUCUCUUAUUAUACUUGAAUGUAAGACGUAGUCUCGAACUUUCUACGAUUGCAGUUAUUUGUAUUAUCGAUUGGCAACAUCAUGGAAGAUUUAUUAGUGAAGAAAAGUGGCAGGUGAAUAAAACAGAGAUGUGAGGCAAAAUUACACAAAAUGGCGGCGUUAUUGCGCGAGAAAUCAUUGACGUGGUCAUUAUCUUGGUUGAUAAAAACUACGUAAUAUCAAACAAUUUUGCACAUAACUUUUUUAUUUUGAACAAUUUGUUUUUUUUUUCUUUUGUAAAUGAAGGUUUUUAUGGCAGAGGAUAGAAUAUGCACAUAAAGAAUGAGUGAUAUAUAUUUCAUAAUGUAUUUGAGUGUUGUUGCUGACCCAAGAAAUCCAUUUUCUAUCCCUCCACAAGUUUAUUGUGGUUAUUCAACCACAAGCUUGAACGGAAUGGCCUGAGUAAAUGCGUGCACUUUGAUAGAUGAUCUGUUUCUCGAGGGAGAACAUGUAGUGAGAUAGGAAUGCAAAAUAAAUAAAAAAAAAGAAAUGAAUAUAAAAGAUUGUGAAUAUAGUGAAGAAAUAACUACGUGAUUCAAACUCUUCAAUUGAUGCAGUUAUCAUCUUCUGCAGUCUUGCUCGAGAAUAUCAAGCUCGCCAUUGCCUCGCGCUUUUGCAAAUUCUCUUUUUCUCUGUUGAUUUUCACAUACAAUGGACACAUGAUCUCAGUCGAGCCUUGACUCCCCACACUGAGAACGCCCUUUACUAUUGCCACUGCAACUCACGCGCUCGUCUCAAGCUUCUCUUGGUUUAUAUCAGGGGAGAGAUAAUACCUUUUGGGAGUAGGGAGGAGUGCUUAAAGAGGACAAGCAUGUGAGGAGGGAAAAGAUGCGCGCGCAUAUCAAGCGGAGGACGUCAAAAGUUGAGGAUAAAGUGAGCGGGGAAAGAGAAAGAAGGAGCAAAGUGCCACGGUGGCUGACUAGCGAGCGAGCUGUGAACCAUGCGGUGUGUUUUGUCUCUUUGCUUCUUCAUUUCUCAACUGAUAUGAGGCAAACCACGACUAAGAAACCUCACAGAGAAAUUUCGCUUGCCUCGAAAACUCUUAUCUCACGAGAGGAUGCUCUAAAUUCAAACCAAGAACCAAUUUAAACUGUUCAAGGUGUUUUAUGAGAUGGUAUUGCUUGAAAUAACACUGUUUGUGGCACGAAUUUAUGUCUUCUAGAAUAAUUAUUAUCUUUUACACUUCUAUUUCAUUGGUUUCACUAACAAAAUCAUCAUUCUUGGAUCAAGAAUAAUUCCAUUCUUGAUCAUAACAUUCUUAAAUAAAAUAAAAUAAUUCAUGUACAACAUAAUAUGAAUGAAAUCAGGAUAAGAACAGCAUGGAUCCAACAUGAUGGCUAGGUCAUUUAAGAAUAUUAUGAUCAAGAAUAUGAUGUUGAUAGUGUUAGUAAGUAACAGCUAAUCAAUAAUGUGAAUUCUAUGCAAUUCUGUCAUCAAAUUAUUCCGAUAUGUUGAAAAAAUUGAUCAAUCAUAAUCUCGAGAAGAAAAACAGGUUGUUUACACAGUUCAUAUGAUAUCUUGAAUUAACUGAUUAAGAGUUGACUACUUGAAAAUGAUUAAAAUUAUCUCAAAAAUAGAAUCUGCUGAUUAUAAAGACUGACGUAUAACUGGUAAGUCUGGUCAAAGUUGCAAACAUUUUACUGUACUAAUUUUGAUGACUUUUGUAAGUAUAUUUCAAUAAUAAAGAAGAAUUGAUAACAAUUA
This 2297-nucleotide long non-coding RNA is filed under the name Chelonus insularis. RNAcentral describes it as "uncharacterized LOC118074116". Lineage: Eukaryota; Metazoa; Arthropoda; Insecta; Hymenoptera; Braconidae. The record is from RNAcentral.